GGGAAACGAGGAUAGGUCACCUGAUGUGAAGUGUUUACCGCCGCCGGUGAACAUUUGCAGCACCAGAGGCACCAUGCGUUG
Long non-coding RNA from Maniola jurtina (meadow brown), 81 nucleotides. RefSeq lists it as uncharacterized. Lineage: Eukaryota; Metazoa; Arthropoda; Insecta; Lepidoptera; Nymphalidae. The transcript is spliced from 3 exons. The record is from RefSeq and is a predicted model, not a curated record.